Molecule: long non-coding RNA, 183 nt
Organism: Pipistrellus kuhlii (Kuhl's pipistrelle)
Lineage: Eukaryota; Metazoa; Chordata; Mammalia; Chiroptera; Vespertilionidae
Exons: 3
Source: RefSeq, a predicted model, not a curated record
AAUGCCACUUCUUCAAAUUAGACUCGCCCAGGCCAAAAACCGACUUCUGUGCAUGGGCCACGAAGUUCCAAUCGCACUGUAAGUGUGCGCCUACACGUGGUAUUUUGUGGAAGAGCCACACUCAAGGGGCCAAAGAGCCGCAUGUGGCUCACGAGCUGCAGUUUGCCGACCACUGGCCUAGAG